CCUUCGAUGUCCUGGGCCGCACGCGCGUUACACUGACCAUUUCAACAAGUUCUUCCGUACCAGAAGUUGGUUCGGUAAGCUGAAAAGGUGGUCGUGAUGGGGAUAAUUCAUUGCAAUUAUUGAAUUUGAACGAGGAAUACCUUGUAGGUGCACUUCAUCAGAGUGCGCCGAAUACGUCCCUGCCCUUUGUACACACCGCCCGUCGCUCCUACCGAUUGGAAGGUUCGGUGAGAACUCAGGACAACAGCACUUUAGCUUAUCAGCAAUGGUAAGCGGGUGCAGUCGGAAUUUGUUCAAAACUCAUCUUCUAGAGGAAGGAGAAGUCGUAACAAGGUU
RNAcentral lists this ribosomal RNA (336 nucleotides) under uncultured eukaryote. RNAcentral describes it as "bacterial SSU rRNA". It matches the Rfam family "Eukaryotic small subunit ribosomal RNA", at positions 1471 to 1801 of the family's 1831-position model. The record is from RNAcentral.